AUGAGCAGGAGGUGGACCAGCACAGUAAGGGGGAGCAGGAGGACAAGAGGUCAAGACCAGCCCAAGCCAGCCCCUUGAGGGUCAUAUUGGGGUCCCUGUAAAUAUUUCACUUGAGUGAUCCUUCGGUUUGAUGUUCAGACCUGGGGAACCUCAAGGUACUGAUUGAGUUCUGGAUGGGAAAUCAUUGGCCUGAUUCAAGACUAACCACAAGAGCUUAAUGUUCACAUCAGGAUCCUCCUUACACUGCUAACAAGCAGUGGGAGAGGAGGAGUAAAGGAAGAUCAGGGUUCAGGGACAGCUGGUUGUGAGGGUCCAGGUGCUCAGGUCCAUCCCAUCCUGGUCACCCUCUCCUGUGUGGAGAGAGGACGCUCCCCCAAAGGAAAGUAAAAUUUCAGGCCAACAGUUCAGGGCUGCUCCUGGCCAAUGGGAUGGGCUCCACUGUGGAUGGAAUAGCAGUGACCCCAGAGUACUGUCUGUUGCCUGGCACCCACUCUGCUUUGUGUGCCCAGGCAGUUGGAGGCCCUUGUGGUUGCUGACCUGCUCUGAUGUUUGCUCACCUGCACAUCUUGCUCUGACCCACCUGAUCCCCACGCCUUCCUGGUUGCCUUGUUAUCAUUUUGAGAGGAGAAGCCCAUAUCCAACAGUGAGAGUCAGAAAGGCAGUUGGAGGCCUUCCUGAUAUCUGACCUGCUCUGACACUCUCCUGCCCUCCAUGUUCUGACCCAUGGACCUGAAGUUUGGUCCAUUUAUACAGCAGAGACCAGCUCUAACAGCAAGAGCUCAGAAAGGCUAAUGGAGUCCCUCAUCAUCGCUGACCUGUUCUGACACUCACUCACCUGCCCACCCUGCUCUGACCCACCUGAUCCCCAAACUCACCUGGUUACUUUUUUACCCUUUUGAGAGGAGACGCCCAAGUCCAACAGUGAGAGUCAGAAAGGCAUUUGGAGGCCCUCAUGGUCACUGCCAUGCUCUGAUGCCUCCUCGUCUGUCUGCCCAACCUUCUCUGACCCACUUGAUUCCCCAACCUGAUUGGUUACUUUAUUACCAUUUUGAGAGGAGAGGCCUAAAUCCAACAGUGAGAGUGAGAAAGGCAGUUGGAGGCC
RNAcentral lists this long non-coding RNA (1102 nucleotides) under Sus scrofa (pig). Its description in RNAcentral is "lncRNA (ENSSSCG00035067526.1, ENSSSCG00055004446.1)". Lineage: Eukaryota; Metazoa; Chordata; Mammalia; Artiodactyla; Suidae. The record is from RNAcentral.